Molecule: ribosomal RNA, 778 nt
Filed under: uncultured bacterium
Lineage: Bacteria
Description: bacterial SSU rRNA
Rfam family: Bacterial small subunit ribosomal RNA
Source: RNAcentral
AGAGUUUGAUCAUGGCUCAGGAUGAACGCUGGCGGUAUGCCUAACACAUGCAAGUCGUACGAGGGUUUUUAACCCUAGUGGCGGACGGGUGAGUAACACGUGAGAAUUUGCCUUUAGGAGGGGGAUAACAAUCGGAAACGAAUGCUAAUACCCCAUAUGCUUUUGAGUGAAAUGGAUCUAUCCGCCUAAAGAGAAGCUCGCGGCUGAUUAGCUUGUUGGUGAGGUAAGAGCUUACCAAGGCGACGAUCAGUAUCUGGUUUGAGAGGACGAUCAGACACACUGGAACUGAGACACGGUCCAGACUCCUACGGGAGGCAGCAGUGGGGAAUUUUCCGCAAUGGGCGAAAGCCUGACGGAGCAAUACCGCGUGAGGGAAGACUGCCUAUGGGUUGUAAACCUCUUUUUUCAGGGAGGAACAAAAUGACGUGUACCUGAAGAAUAAGCAUCGGCUAACUCCGUGCCAGCAGCCGCGGUAAGACGGAGGAUGCAAGUGUUAUCCGGAAUCACUGGGCGUAAAGCGUCUGUAGGUGGUUUAAUAAGUCAACUGUUAAAUCUUGAGGCUCAACUUCAAAAUCGCAGUCGAAACUAUUAGACUAGAGUAUAGUAGAGGUAAAGGGAAUUUCCAGUGGAGCGGUGAAAUGCGUAGAUAUUGGAAAGAACACCGAUGGCGAAAGCACUUUACUGGGCUAUUACUAACACUCAGAGACGAAAGCUAGGGUAGCAAAUGGGAUUAGAUACCCCAGUAGUCCUAGCCGUAAACUAUGGAUACUAGAUGUUG